Non-coding RNA from Danio rerio (zebrafish), 1424 nucleotides. NCBI's taxonomy places the organism in Eukaryota, Metazoa, Chordata, Actinopteri, Cypriniformes, Danionidae. The record is from RefSeq and is a predicted model, not a curated record.
CCCAAUUCGGAGCACUCACACAAGUCAAACGAAUCGGAAAAUGCACCCAAGAAUGGUUUGAAUAGCAUAGUGUGAGUGCACCCUAAGUAAAUAUGGCAUAACAACACCAUUGAGUCAGCGAUUUCGGACCAGGUGCUAUUUAAAGGAAAUUAUACAGAAAAACAGAUUGUUUAAAGAGAAUGACAGUGAUAAGCACUGAACUACAGACCAAAGCUACAUCAAUGUAAGGUAGACACUAGAUGCCAAAUACAAAAACUAGCAGAACACACACACACACACACACACACACACACACACUAUAGAACCACCUGACAUAAGCACAAUUAUCUGAAUAAAAACACACAGACAGGAGAUCAAUACAAAUCGAUCAGCUUCGUAAGAGAUGCAUGCACAAACAAAAUACCAUCACAUUCAAUAAGCAAAAGACUUUAACACAUUGAUUUUCUUUUAACCUGCUCAAACCCACUUUUAGAUCAUAAAAACUAUGAGGUUUUAAAUGUCAAAUCCUGAAUUGAUCAAGAAGAAAGCAUCAUUGGAGAUGUAGCACAGCUUGACUUCCUUCUCUGAUGGUAGGAUCAUGGGAGUAAGCAACAACAAUACCAACCUGAAACAUAGAUGAACGCGCGUGACUUGAAAAUUGAGACUGUAUAAAAAGACAUGUCUCAACAGGCUGUUUAAAACUGCAGGAUGAAACGAAAGGGCAACAGUGAAGAUCUAAGAGGGGAAAAAUGGACUUUCAACCAACUAUUCCGACAACGAUGUCCCAAAGGAGAGGAAAACAAACAAGUCAGCACAGAUAAGACAGGAUUCUUCUUCUAUCUGCUCCUUUCCACCUAUACAACCCAAUCAGGGCUUAUUGUAAAAACACAGACAAACUUUAAAAACACCUACAGCUGCUCUAGAGAAGGUAAUGAGGUGUUGCUCUGGACUUUUCUACAAACCUCUUUGAAAUAACAGAUUUAUCAAGAGAACUAAACAUGGCAUGCAUACAGGGCUCAAGACGGCUUGCAUGGAUCCCCAACUGCACCUGAUUUCGAGACACCUGUUUCAGUCUAUAAAAUUCCAUUGUGGCUUACUGAUAUAAUGCACUGUAUAUAAAUAAAAUAACAAUCCCACAUGAGCCAAGCUGGCCUUUACAUCUCUUACAUCAAAGCAGCAGAGAGCAGUGGAACCUCUGAGACGCUUUCAGCUGUUUGAGUGACAGCACCUUCUCUCUGAUGUGACGUGGAGAGCUCAUCCUCUGCCUUCAUAAUAGCAGUGCAGGCAUCAUAGUCAGAGUGUGCAGAAAGCCUGGAAAAGAGUGAAAGAAAGGAGGGUGGAGACUGCUCGUGUGGGCGAAGCCGAGGUGGUUAAAUGUGUUCCACAUGUUCGCAAAAGAGUCCGAGGCUUUUCAAGCCAGUGGGCAGAUGAAUGGUUGGAAAGGG